Molecule: ribosomal RNA, 466 nt
Filed under: uncultured bacterium
Lineage: Bacteria
Description: bacterial SSU rRNA
Rfam family: Bacterial small subunit ribosomal RNA
Source: RNAcentral
UCCAGACUCCUACGGGAGGCAGCAGUGAGGAAUAUUGGUCAAUGGGCUUACGCCUGAACCAGCCAAGUCGCGUGAGGGAAGACUGCCCUAUGGGUCGUAAACCUCUUUUGUCAGGGAGCAACGCCGGCUACGUGUAGCCGGACUGAGAGUACCUGAAGAAAAAGCAUCGGCUAACUCCGUGCCAGCAGCCGCGGUAAUACGGAGGAUGCGAGCGUUAUCCGGAUUUAUUGGGUUUAAAGGGAGCGUAGAUGGGUUGUUAAGUCAGUUGUGAAAGUUUGCGGCUCAACCGUAAAAUUGCAAUUGAUACUGGCAGUCUUGAGUACAGUUGUGGUAGGCGGAAUUCGUGGUGUAGCGGUGAAAUGCUUAGAUAUCACGAAGAACCCCGAUUGCGAAGGCAGCUUACUAAACUGUGACUGACAUUGAUGCUCGAAAGUGUGGGUAUCAAACAGGAUUAGAUACCCGAGUA